Molecule: ribosomal RNA, 406 nt
Filed under: uncultured bacterium
Lineage: Bacteria
Description: partial 16S ribosomal RNA
Rfam family: Bacterial small subunit ribosomal RNA
Source: RNAcentral
AUUGAACGCUGGCGGCAGGCCUAACACAUGCAAGUCGAACGAGUGGCGGACGGGUGAGUAAUGUCUGGGAAACUGCCUGAUGGAGGGGGAUAACUACUGGAAACGGUAGCUAAUACCGCAUACCAUCAGAUGUGCCCAGAUGGGAUUAGCUAGUUGGUGGGGUAACGGCUCACCAAGGCGAAGAUCCCUAGCUGGCCUGAGAGGAGGACCAGCCACACGUGAACUGAGACACGUGCCAGACUCCUACGGGGGGCAGCAGGGGGGAAUAUUGCAAAUGGGGCGCAAGCCUUAUGCACCCAUGCCGCGUGUAUUAAGAAGGCCUUCGGGUUGUAAAGUACUUUCAGCUGGGAGGCGUUACCCGCAGAAGAAGCACCGGCUAACUCCGUGCCAGCAGCCGCGGUAAUAC